This 445-nucleotide ribosomal RNA is filed under the name uncultured bacterium. Its description in RNAcentral is "bacterial SSU rRNA". It matches the Rfam family "Bacterial small subunit ribosomal RNA", at positions 331 to 793 of the family's 1533-position model. The record is from RNAcentral.
CCAGACUCCUACGGGAGGCAGCAGUGGGGAAUAUUGCACAAUGGGGGAAACCCUGAUGCAGCGACGCCGCGUGAGUGAAGAAGUAAUUCGUUAUGUAAAGCUCUAUAAGCAGGGAAGAAAAUGACGGUACCUGAGUAAGAAGCCCCGGCUAACUACGUGCCAGCAGCCGCGGUAAUACGUAGGGGGCGAGCGUUAUCCGGAUUCACUGGGUGUAAAGGGAGCGUAGACGGCCAUGCAAGCCAGGGGUGAAAGCCCGGGGCCCAACCCCGGGACUGCCCUUGGAACUGUGCGGCCAGAGUGCGGGAGGGGCAGGCGGAAUUCCUGGUGUAGCGGUGAAAUGCGUAGAUAUUAGGAGGAACACCGGCGGCGAAGGCGGCCUGCUGGACCGAAACUGACGUUGAGGCUCGAAAGCGUGGGGAGCAAACAGGAUUAGAUACCCUCGUAA